UCUCCGUUGGUGAACCAGCGGAGGGAUCAUUGCUGGAAAACAGGCCCCCGGGCCCUACCCAGAAACCCUUUGUGAACUUAUACCUAAUUGUUGCCUCGGCAUUAGUUGGCUUUUUUUUAAAAGUCCCUUUUUUUUCUACUUCGGAAUAAGAAAGGAGCAGACUGGCCGGUGGCCCCCCACUAUAAACUCUUGUUUUUAUUGUACAUCUUCUGAGUAAACAACUAUAAAUGAAUCAAAACUUUCAACAACGGAUCUCUUGGUUCUGGCAUCGAUGAAGAACGCAGC
This 285-nucleotide unclassified non-coding RNA is filed under the name uncultured fungus. Its description in RNAcentral is "sequence contains ITS1, 5.8S rRNA gene". The stretch from base 237 to 285 matches the Rfam family "5.8S ribosomal RNA", at positions 1 to 49 of the family's 154-position model. The record is from RNAcentral. Lineage: Eukaryota; Fungi.